GACGUCGAUCGACCGUGGAAAGGAUCUCCUACUCCGUGCGACGCCAUUGAUAGACAGCUGUUCUCGAGCUGCUCCUCUAUUCAGUUGGGUGAUGGUCAGCUUGCGCUGUUCUGGAUGGAUAGAUGGAUGCAUGGGGAGGCCCCUUAUGUGAUUGCACCGGAGAUCUUCAAGCUGGCGCAUUUUAAAAGAAUUACUGUCAAAGGGGCUUUGACAAACGACCGGUGGAUGCAAGGUCUACAAAGAAUGAACAACGAGGAGCAGCUAGCACAAUUUGUCAGAAUUUGGGAGGAGGUUCAGAAGGUGAGCCUCUCGGAGGCAAAGGAUGUGAUCAGGUGGUCACUCACGGCAAACGGCUCCUACUCUGCAUGCUCUGCCUAUGCCAUCCAGUUUGCGGCCAGGAUAGAGCAGCUGGAUCUUGAGAGAAUAUGGAGAUGCAAGAUGGAGGGGAAGGUCAAAUUCUACCUUUGGUUACUCCUGCAGAACAUAAAUUGGACGGCGGAUAGACUAUUAGCGCGAAAUUGGCCACAUAAUGAUCGAUGCAAGUUGUGUGAUCAAGAGGCUGAAUCUGCAAUGCAUUUGACGCUGGGGUGUUCUUUUGCAAAGGAAAUAUGGUUCCACUUCCAGGGGUCUAACAGUAGGAUGUGGCAUAUUGCGUCUUCGGCUAGCUCGAUUACAGAUUGGUGGAGAAGGCUAUGCUCCGGACGCGGUCCGAAGUACAAGGUACAAGAGGAUAUCACGUUGGCGGCCUACAUUGCCUGGCACCUGUGGAAGGAACGCAACAGGAGGAUCUUUCAGCAGAAGGAAUUGAUUGUGUUCAUGUUGGCUGAUUUAAUCAGCGAUGAUGUAAAAUUAUACGUUGAGGCCACUGGUCAGGGUCAGGUUAUUGCAUAA
RNAcentral lists this ribosomal RNA (891 nucleotides) under Triticum aestivum (bread wheat). Its description in RNAcentral is "partial small subunit ribosomal RNA". The record is from RNAcentral. Lineage: Eukaryota; Viridiplantae; Streptophyta; Magnoliopsida; Poales; Poaceae.